This 576-nucleotide ribosomal RNA is filed under the name Acinetobacter sp. ERR544. RNAcentral describes it as "bacterial SSU rRNA". It matches the Rfam family "Bacterial small subunit ribosomal RNA", at positions 92 to 661 of the family's 1533-position model. The record is from RNAcentral. Lineage: Bacteria; Pseudomonadati; Pseudomonadota; Gammaproteobacteria; Moraxellales; Moraxellaceae.
UUAGCGGCGGACGGGUGAGUAAUGCUUAGGAAUCUGCCUAUUAGUGGGGGACAACAUCUCGAAAGGGAUGCUAAUACCGCAUACGUCCUACGGGAGAAAGCAGGGGAUCACUUGUGACCUUGCGCUAAUAGAUGAGCCUAAGUCGGAUUAGCUAGUUGGUGGGGUAAAGGCCUACCAAGGCGACGAUCUGUAGCGGGUCUGAGAGGAUGAUCCGCCACACUGGGACUGAGACACGGCCCAGACUCCUACGGGAGGCAGCAGUGGGGAAUAUUGGACAAUGGGGGGAACCCUGAUCCAGCCAUGCCGCGUGUGUGAAGAAGGCCUUAUGGUUGUAAAGCACUUUAAGCGAGGAGGAGGCUCUUUUGGUUAAUACCCAGAAUGAGUGGACGUUACUCGCAGAAUAAGCACCGGCUAACUCUGUGCCAGCAGCCGCGGUAAUACAGAGGGUGCAAGCGUUAAUCGGAUUUACUGGGCGUAAAGCGCGCGUAGGCGGCCAAUUAAGUCAAAUGUGAAAUCCCCGAGCUUAACUUGGGAAUUGCAUUCGAUACUGGUUGGCUAGAGUGUGGGAGAGGAUGG